Molecule: ribosomal RNA, 460 nt
Filed under: uncultured bacterium
Lineage: Bacteria
Description: partial 16S ribosomal RNA
Rfam family: Bacterial small subunit ribosomal RNA
Source: RNAcentral
CCUACGGGAGGCAGCAGUGAGGAAUAUUGGUCAAUGGACGAGAGUCUGAACCAGCCAAGUAGCGUGAAGGAUGACUGCCCUAUGGGUUGUAAACUUCUUUUAUAUGGGAAUAAAAUGUUCCACGUGCGUGAUAUUGUAUGUACCAUAUGAAUAAGGAUCGGCUAACUCCGUGCCAGCAGCCGCGGUAAUACGGAGGAUGCGAGCGUUAUCCGGAUUUAUUGGGUGUAAAGGGUGCGUAGGUGGAUUGGUAAGUCAGUUGUGAAAGUUUGGGGCUCAACCCUAAAAUUGCAGUUGAAACUGGCAGUCUUGAGUACAGGAGAGGUGAGCGGAAUUCGUGGUGUAGCGGUGAAAUGCUUAGAUAUCACGAAGAACUCCGAUUGCGAAGGCAGCUUACUGGACUGCAACUGACGCUGAGGCUCGAAAGUGUGGGUAUCAAACAGGAUUAGAUACCCUGGUAGUC